Molecule: ribosomal RNA, 281 nt
Filed under: uncultured Burkholderiales bacterium
Lineage: Bacteria; Pseudomonadati; Pseudomonadota; Betaproteobacteria; Burkholderiales
Description: partial 16S ribosomal RNA
Rfam family: Bacterial small subunit ribosomal RNA
Source: RNAcentral
GUGCCAGCAGCCGCGGUAAUACGUAGGGUGCGAGCGUUAAUCGGAAUUACUGGGCGUAAAGCGUGCGCAGGCGGCUUUGCAAGACAGAGGUGAAAUCCCCGGGCUCAACCUGGGAACUGCCUUUGUGACUGCAAGGCUAGAGUACGGCAGAGGGGGAUGGAAUUCCGCGUGUAGCAGUGAAAUGCGUAGAUAUGCGGAGGAACACCGAUGGCGAAGGCAAUCCCCUGGGCCUGUACCGACGCUCAUGCACGAAAGCGUGGGGAGCAAACAGGAUUAGAUAC